Molecule: ribosomal RNA, 748 nt
Filed under: uncultured Ruminococcus sp.
Lineage: Bacteria; Bacillati; Bacillota; Clostridia; Eubacteriales; Oscillospiraceae
Description: bacterial SSU rRNA
Rfam family: Bacterial small subunit ribosomal RNA
Source: RNAcentral
GAUGAACGCUGGCGGCGUGCCUAACACAUGCAAGUCGAGCGAAGCACUUUGCUUAGAUUCUUCGGAUGAAGAGGAUUGUGACUGAGCGGCGGACGGGUGAGUAACGCGUGGGUAACCUGCCUCAUACAGGGGGAUAACAGUUAGACAUGACUGCUAAUACCGCAUAAGACCACAGCACCGCAUGGUGCGGGGGUAAAAACUCCGGUGGUAUGAGAUGGACCCGCGUCUGAUUAGCUAGUUGGUAAGGUAACGGCUUACCAAGGCGACGAUCAGUAGCCGACCUGAGAGGGUGACCGGCCACAUUGGGACUGAGACACGGCCCAAACUCCUACGGGAGGCAGCAGUGGGGAAUAUUGCACAAUGGGGGAAACCCUGAUGCAGCGACGCCGCGUGAGCGAAGAAGUAUUUCGGUAUGUAAAGCUCUAUCAGCAGGGAAGAAAAUGACGGUACCUGACUAAGAAGCACCGGCUAAAUACGUGCCAGCAGCCGCGGUAAUACGUAUGGUGCAAGCGUUAUCCGGAUCUACUGGGUGUAAAGGGAGCGUAGACGGAUGGGCAAGUCUGAUGUGAAAACCCGGGGCUCAACCCCGGGACUGCAUUGGAAACUGUUCAUCUAGAGUGCUGGAGAGGUAAGUGGAAUUCCUAGUGUAGCGGUGAAAUGCGUAGAUAUUAGGAGGAACACCAGUGGCGAAGGCGGCUUACUGGACAGUAACUGACGUUGAGGCUCGAAAGCGUGGGGAGCAAACAGG